This 65-nucleotide transfer RNA is filed under the name Candidatus Moduliflexus flocculans. It matches the Rfam family "tRNA", at positions 5 to 66 of the family's 71-position model. Rfam says of the family: Transfer RNA (tRNA) molecules are approximately 80 nucleotides in length. Their secondary structure includes four short double-helical elements and three loops (D, anti-codon, and T loops). Further hydrogen bonds mediate the characteristic L-shaped molecular structure. tRNAs have two regions of fundamental functional importance: the anti-codon, which is responsible for specific mRNA codon recognition, and the 3' end, to which the tRNAs corresponding amino acid is attached (by aminoacyl-tRNA synthetases). tRNAs cope with the degeneracy of the genetic code in two manners: having more than one tRNA (with a specific anti-codon) for a particular amino acid; and 'wobble' base-pairing, i.e. permitting non-standard base-pairing at the 3rd anti-codon position. The record is from Rfam by way of RNAcentral. Lineage: Bacteria; Candidatus Moduliflexota; Candidatus Moduliflexia; Candidatus Moduliflexales; Candidatus Moduliflexaceae.
GGGUAGCUCAAUUGGUUAGAGCAAAGCGCUAAAGACGCUUGUGUCACAGGUUCGAUUCCUGUCCC